Molecule: ribosomal RNA, 253 nt
Filed under: uncultured bacterium
Lineage: Bacteria
Description: partial 16S ribosomal RNA
Rfam family: Bacterial small subunit ribosomal RNA
Source: RNAcentral
UACGGAGGAUGCGAGCGUUAUCCGGAUUCAUUGGGUUUAAAGGGUGCGUAGGCGGUUUUUUAAGUCAGUGGUGAAAUCCUGCGGCUCAACCGUAGAACUGCCAUUGAAACUGAAAAACUUGAAUAUAAUUGAGGUAGGCGGAAUGAGUAGUGUAGCGGUGAAAUGCUUAGAUAUUACUCAGAACACCAAUUGCGAAGGCAGCUUACCAAGCUAUAAUUGACGCUGAGGCACGAAAGCGUGGGGAUCGAACAGG